Molecule: ribosomal RNA, 250 nt
Filed under: uncultured bacterium
Lineage: Bacteria
Description: partial 16S ribosomal RNA
Rfam family: Bacterial small subunit ribosomal RNA
Source: RNAcentral
GCAAGUCGAACGGCAGCGCGGAGAGCUUGCUCUCUGGCGGCGAGUGGCGGACGGGUGAGUAACGCGUAGGAAUCUGCCCAGUAGUGGGGGAUAACCAGAGGAAACUCUGGCUAAUACCGCAUAAGCCCCAAGGGGGAAAGCGGGGGAUCUUCGGACCUCGCGCUAUUGGAUGAGCCUGCGUCGGAUUAGCUUGUUGGUGGGGUAACGGCCUACCAAGGCGACGAUCUGUAGCUGGUCUGAGAGGACGAUC